RNAcentral lists this ribosomal RNA (106 nucleotides) under Pteropus alecto (black flying fox). The record is from RNAcentral. Lineage: Eukaryota; Metazoa; Chordata; Mammalia; Chiroptera; Pteropodidae.
GUCUACGGCCUUGCCACUCUGAACAAGCCCGAUCCCGUCUGAUCUCAAAAGCUAAGUGGGGUUGGACCUGGUUAGUACUUGGAUGGGAGACCAGGUGCUAUAGGCG